Molecule: ribosomal RNA, 716 nt
Filed under: uncultured bacterium
Lineage: Bacteria
Description: bacterial SSU rRNA
Rfam family: Bacterial small subunit ribosomal RNA
Source: RNAcentral
AACAGGAUUAGAUACCCUGGUAGUCCACGCCGUAAACGAUGCUAACUCGUUUUUGGUUUUUCGGAAUCAGAGACUAAGCGAAAGUGAUAAGUUAGCCACCUGGGGAGUACGAACGCAAGUUUGAAACUCAAAGGAAUUGACGGGGGCCCGCACAAGCGGUGGAUUAUGUGGUUUAAUUCGAUGAUACGCGAGGAACCUUACCAAGACUUAAAUGGGAAUUGACAGAUUUAGAAAUAGAUCCUCCUUCGGGCAAUUUUCAAGGUGCUGCAUGGUUGUCGUCAGCUCGUGCCGUGAGGUGUUAGGUUAAGUCCUGCAACGAGCGCAACCCCUGUCACUAGUUGCCAUCAUUCAGUUGGGGACUCUAGUGAGACUGCCUACGCAAGUAGAGAGGAAGGUGGGGAUGACGUCAAAUCAUCACGGCCCUUACGUCUUGGGCCACACACGUAAUACAAUGGCCGGUACAGAGGGCAGCUACACAGCGAUGUGAUGCAAAUCUCGAAAGCCGGUCUCAGUUCGGAUUGGAGUCUGCAACUCGACUCUAUGAAGCUGGAAUCGCUAGUAAUCGCGCAUCAGCCAUGGCGCGGUGAAUACGUUCCCGGGCCUUGUACACACCGCCCGUCAAGCCAUGGAAGUCUGGGGUACCUGAAGUCGGUGACCGUAACAGGAGCUGCCUAGGGUAAAACAGGUAACUAGGGCUAAGUCGUAACAAGGUAACC